Molecule: ribosomal RNA, 177 nt
Filed under: uncultured bacterium
Lineage: Bacteria
Description: partial 16S ribosomal RNA
Rfam family: Bacterial small subunit ribosomal RNA
Source: RNAcentral
ACUCCUACGGGAGGCAGCAGUGAGGAAUUUUCUGCAAUGGGCGAAAGCCUGACAGAGCAAUACCGCGUGAGGGAAGAAGGCUUACUGAGUUGUAAACCUCUGUUAUCUAAGGAGGAAGAUCUGACGUUACUUAGGAGACGAAGCAUCGGCUAACUCCGUGCCAGCAGCCGCGGUAAU